UAAAAAAUCUAUACGGUUUGAGCUUUUGUAAAACUGGGCCGCUUUUUCCAAUUUUACAGAUUCGGAUCGGAUUUUCAACAAACUGAUCAAAAUAUAUACCCUUAUUCCUUUCUCUCUCUUCUUUUCUUUUUCUUCGUUCUUUUUUUCUCUCCAACCCUUAUCACCUCCUCCACUGCCUCCGCGGCCCUCGGAGACGGUAACGAGGGCGGCGGCGCAUCCUCUUCCUCCAUCUUCUCCUUCGC
This 242-nucleotide long non-coding RNA is filed under the name Ananas comosus (pineapple). RNAcentral's name for it is "long non-coding RNA (ACOM_LNC024126)". Lineage: Eukaryota; Viridiplantae; Streptophyta; Magnoliopsida; Poales; Bromeliaceae. The record is from RNAcentral.